This 94-nucleotide non-coding RNA is filed under the name unclassified sequences. RNAcentral's name for it is "L4-Archaeoglobi ribosomal protein leader". It matches the Rfam family "L4-Archaeoglobi ribosomal protein leades". The record is from RNAcentral.
CUGAUAGCGGCGUCUGGGUGGAAAUCGGAAUCAAUCGCCCAAUUCCCCUUCGCACCGAAAGUAGGUACUCGGUAGGGGAGCGCCUNAAUGUCAG